GGACUACUGGGGUAUCUAAUCCUGUUUGCUCCCCACGCUUUCGUGCAUGAGCGUCAGUGUUAUCCCAGGGGGCUGCCUUCGCCAUCGGUAUUCCUCCACAUCUCUACGCAUUUCACUGCUACACGUGGAAUUCUACCCCCCUCUGACACACUCUAGCCGUGCAGUCACCAGUGCAAUUCCCAAGUUAAGCUCGGGGAUUUCACACCGGUCUUGCACAACCGCCUGCGCACGCUUUACGCCCAGUAAUUCCGAUUAACGCUUGGACCCUACGUAUUACCGCGGCUGCUGGCAC
This 292-nucleotide ribosomal RNA is filed under the name uncultured bacterium. RNAcentral describes it as "partial 16S ribosomal RNA". The record is from RNAcentral.